UACGUAGGGGGCAAGCGUUGUCCGGAAUCAUUGGGCGUAAAGAGCGUGUAGGCGGCCCGGUAAGUCCGCUGUGAAAGUCCAGGGCUCAACCCUGGGAUGCCGGUGGAUACUGUCGGGCUCGAGUCCGGAAGAGGAGUGUGGAAUUCCUGGUGUAGCGGUGAAAUGCGCAGAUAUCAGGAAGAACACCAACGGCGAAGGCAGCUCGCUAGGACGGUACUGACGCUGAGACGCGAAAGCGUGGGGAGCGAACAGG
This 253-nucleotide ribosomal RNA is filed under the name uncultured bacterium. Its description in RNAcentral is "partial 16S ribosomal RNA". It matches the Rfam family "Bacterial small subunit ribosomal RNA", at positions 524 to 776 of the family's 1533-position model. The record is from RNAcentral.